UACGGAGGGUCCAAGCGUUAUCCGGAAUCAUUGGGUUUAAAGGGUCCGUAGGCGGCCGAGUAAGUCAGUGGUGAAAGCCCAUCGCUCAACGGUGGAACGGCCAUUGAUACUGCUCGGCUUGAAUUACUGGGAAGUAACUAGAAUAUGUAGUGUAGCGGUGAAAUGCUUAGAUAUUACAUGGAAUACCAAUUGCGAAGGCAGGUUACUACCAGUUUAUUGACGCUGAUGGACGAAAGCGUGGGGAGCGAACAGG
RNAcentral lists this ribosomal RNA (253 nucleotides) under uncultured bacterium. RNAcentral's name for it is "partial 16S ribosomal RNA". It matches the Rfam family "Bacterial small subunit ribosomal RNA", at positions 524 to 776 of the family's 1533-position model. The record is from RNAcentral.